RNAcentral lists this ribosomal RNA (532 nucleotides) under Addisonia excentrica. RNAcentral describes it as "bacterial SSU rRNA". It matches the Rfam family "Eukaryotic small subunit ribosomal RNA", at positions 33 to 557 of the family's 1831-position model. The record is from RNAcentral. Lineage: Eukaryota; Metazoa; Mollusca; Gastropoda; Lepetellida; Addisoniidae.
UGUCUCAAAGAUUAAGCCAUGCCGUCUAAGUACAUACUUUGAUGAAAAGUGAAACUGCGAACGGCUCAGUACAACGGUCACAAUUUACUGGUCGAUAGUUUUUAAUUGGAUAACUGUGGCAAUUCUAGAGCUAAUACAUGCACUAUGCUCCGAGCGCGGGUGACCGUGCGACGAGCGCGUUUAUCAGUUUGAAGCCAGCGGGGCUAUUGGCCUUCAAUUGACUCUAGAUAACUUAGCUGAUCGUGAGGCGUAUGCCGAAUGCGACGCGGCCAUAAAAGGUCUGCCCUAUCACACUGUCGAUGGUCGGCGCUCUGCCCACCAUGGUGAUAACGGGUGACGGGGGAUCAGGGUUCGAUUCCGGAGAGGGAGCAUGAGAAACGGCUGCCACAUCCAUGGAAGGCAGCAGGCGCGCAACUUACCCAAUCUCGAUACGAGGAGGUAGUGACGAAAAAUAUCAGUGCGGGGUUCAUCGAAUGCCCGCUACUGAAAUGAGCCCAAUGUAAGCAUUUGCGCGAGGAUCGAUUGGAGGGCA